UUUCGGUGUCUACUGUAGUUUCCCAAUUUUACCGGAUAAUAUUGAACAGUUAAUCAUGAACGCCAUUGCUUUAGCCUGGUCUCGGCUGUUGAGAAAUGACCGCUUCCUGGAGGUGUGGACUGUGCUGCGGUUUUGAAUUUGCCCAUGACUUAUGUAAUGCGCAACGCUAAGAAGCUAACCGGAAAUUGCCUGCGCUGUAAACCAUAGACAUCAAUGCUGUAAACAACCAUCCUCCCCAGCAAAGAGAGAAGCGUCGAUCCGAACGAGGGCGCUGUUAAUGUUAAUUCAAUGUUUGGAAGCGUGGCCAACGCGGACUGAACUGCUUCAUUCACUUCCUCCACUGCCAUUGCUGAACUACAGGAAGACUAUGAAACUCCAUACCAGUUUAACUUUGAAACGUAAAACGUUUGAGUAAUUCAGUCGUCAUUUUGGCAGAGAAGCAAUAUGGUUGAUCCAGUGAUGUGUAAAAGUCAACAAGGCUGGACUAAACUUACAAAGAAUUCCGUGGGUCAGCGGUUGACAUUGGCCUUCAUUGUCCCUUCUGACUGCAAAACUGUCUCUGUAUCGCUACUGCUACAAUGCAGCUCAGAAAAGGAAGACGACAGCUAACGAAGCCCAGUGGGAAGAAGGCGUUUACCUUGAUGGCAGUGGAAGCGAUCUGGAUGUGGUGCAGCUUGUGCAAGG
This is a long non-coding RNA of Poecilia reticulata (guppy), 684 nucleotides long. RefSeq lists it as uncharacterized. The record is from RefSeq and is a predicted model, not a curated record. Lineage: Eukaryota; Metazoa; Chordata; Actinopteri; Cyprinodontiformes; Poeciliidae.